AAAAAAAAAAAAAAAGAUGAAAAUUUCAAUCUCUGGAUGUCCAAGCUAGGGCUUCAAUUUGAGAUUUUUCAUGCCUCCUGAGAAAACACAUUUGGGGAUUUUGAAUUUCAUGUCUUCAACAAAGAUGACAUCUUCAAAAAACGAAAAAAAUUCAUGCAUUCUCGGGAUCUAGAUCACCAUUCCAACAUGGAUUUUUGGAUUUUCAACCUAAUUUUCUGUUUUUUGUUUUUAAUUUUUUAACGAUCAAGGGUAUUUUAGUGAUUAUUGAAUGAUAAUAUCCUUUUGGUCAAUUUCCACCAAUUUGUUAGGUCUUGGGCUCAAAUUUGGGUGUUAUGUGAAUCUUGGCCCAGCAAGGCUAAAAGCAUAGUUGUCCCAUAGAUAAAUUCAAAACACCUGGGGUUAAACCCUCUCCUCCCUCUUCAAUUGAUUUUGCCAUGUACAAACGUCACCCUCCUUGCUAUUGCCCCACCACCGGUGGCGGUGGUGGCAGGGCAGUGCUGCCACCACGAUCACUACCUCCAACUCCUAAUAAUUUUGUCCAUAAAGAAAUCCCUACAUCCAAAAUCCUACUUCCCAAGCCAACCCUCCCAUACCUCCAAAACCCUAAUUUGCCAAUUCAAAACCCUAGUUUUCUGAUAAAAAAUACUAAUUUUACAGGGUUCAGGCCUCAACCUCCUAAGCAGAGCAAGGAGGCUUUGGACAGGGUCGAUGGUGCUGUCGUCAAGGCUCACCACAACAUUAUUGCUGCCUGUGAAAGUGUAUCAGCGUGGAAGGUGUCUCAAUCGUUGUUGUUGGCACUCCACGUUGAUUCUUGGAAUCGUUAGGGUUUCAGAUGCAGGAGGUUUUGUCUCAUCACAGCCUUAUAGUCAUAGAGGGAAAGUGUGCAUGUUACUUUUGUUUGUGAAGCUAGGAAAUGAGGACAUGUGACUUUAAAUGUCACGGGUCACUUCAAACAGAUUUCUGAUAAGAAAAUCAAGAAGCACCCUCUUCUGUCGUCACAGAAAAAUAAGUUGGAUGACUGCUCCAGUGCCAUAUCCCAGUGUGUCAAGUCAUUUGCCUCAGAGCAUGAUGAUUUUGGUCGUAAACACACAAUAUUUGUUUCAUCAUCUUCAGAGGAGGAUGGUAGUGAUGAUCAUAAAUAUGAAAAGAGCGAGGAAGACAUUGAUGGGUGCAGCAAUAGCAAUUUUUCAUCACCAAAUACCAAAACUUGUGACAGUGCUGCCCUUAUCCAUCAUCAAUUGAAGAGAUGACCCGAUUUGGAUUGAAAGGUGAAACAGAGGGAAACCCUUCUGCUAGUGGCAGUUCAAUGCACAGUGAGAAUACUAGGCCCUUUAGAAGGAAAAGAAAGUCCAGCAACCCAAGUUGCACUGUUCCAAAAUACCUCAAAUUGCCUAAAAGAAGUAAAUUAUAACUGGAUCCUCUUUCAGUGGACUGUGAAAAUGAGAAAAAAGAGCUUGGCAAUCUGAAUGAAGCAGAUUUUUUGCUUGCUAAUGAUUCUAUGAGAAUGUUCAUCACAACCUGGAAGGAGGCAUGUUGAGAGCACAGCAUAGCUGAGGUAUGUUCAUGCUCCUACCCUGAAGUAUAAUUUAAUGACUAAACAAUACUUUCAAGUAAUAUGUAUCAACCCUUUCUUUGUAGCUUUGUAUUUCUUUUUGCACUAUGCUUCUCUUGAUCUUAUGUUCUUGAUAAAUAUUAAUGAAGACAUCUAUUAGUUCAAGCA
This is a long non-coding RNA of Vitis riparia (riverbank grape), 1720 nucleotides long. RefSeq lists it as uncharacterized. The transcript has 2 exons. NCBI's taxonomy places the organism in Eukaryota, Viridiplantae, Streptophyta, Magnoliopsida, Vitales, Vitaceae. The record is from RefSeq and is a predicted model, not a curated record.